Molecule: transfer RNA, 97 nt
Filed under: Microbispora corallina
Lineage: Bacteria; Bacillati; Actinomycetota; Actinomycetes; Streptosporangiales; Streptosporangiaceae
Description: tRNA-Phe
Source: RNAcentral
UCGUGGUGUGCGCGGGCGCCGGUGCGGCGCCGCCGAAGUCGGUGUCGGCGGGGGACGUUCCGGCGUACUCGCGCAGUUCGACGGUCCUGCCACGCGC